Lepus europaeus (European hare) is the source of this 135-nucleotide small nucleolar RNA. RefSeq annotates it as small nucleolar RNA U109. The transcript has a single exon. The record is from RefSeq and is a predicted model, not a curated record. Lineage: Eukaryota; Metazoa; Chordata; Mammalia; Lagomorpha; Leporidae.
CCGCAUGCGGAGAUGUCUGCUCCUCAUUCCUUUGGGAGCAGGAAUGCGUCCACAACAUGCCACAUUAACACAGGAGUUCUCAGGGCCGCCAGCCUUACAGUAGAGGUUGAGUGGUAGUAUAUUCCUCCUACAUAA